CCCUUAGAUGUUCUGGGCCGCACGCGUGCUACACUGAGUGGAUCAGCGGGUCAGGUUGCGCGAAAGCGUUUCCUAUCUUUAAAUCCGCUCGUGAUGGGGAUUGACGGUUGCAAUUUUCUGUCAUGAACGAGGAAUACCUUGUAAGCGCGGGUCAUCAUCCCGCGCUGAAUACGUCCCUGCCCUUUGUACACACCGCCCGUCGCUCCUACCGAUUGAGUGGUCCGGUGAGGCUUUGGGAUCUGAGCGGAAAGAGCGUUUCGCUGUUUCUGCUCGGAAAACUCAGUCGAACCUUAUCAUUUAGAGGAAGGAGAAGUCGUAACA
This 321-nucleotide ribosomal RNA is filed under the name uncultured eukaryote. Its description in RNAcentral is "partial 18S ribosomal RNA". It matches the Rfam family "Eukaryotic small subunit ribosomal RNA", at positions 1470 to 1796 of the family's 1831-position model. The record is from RNAcentral.